UACGGAGGGCGCAAGCGUUGUUCGGAAUCACUGGGCGUAAAGCGCGUGUAGGCGGCUCGGCAAGUCGGGUGUGAAAUCCCGAGGCUCAACCUCGGAACUGCACUCGAAACUGCCGGGCUCGAGUCCCGGAGAGGGUGGCGGAAUUCCCGGUGUAGGGGUGAAAUCCGUAGAUAUCGGGGGGAACACCAGUGGCGAAGGCGGCCACCUGGACGGUGACUGACGCUGAGACGCGAAGGCGUGGGGAGCAAACAGG
RNAcentral lists this ribosomal RNA (253 nucleotides) under uncultured bacterium. RNAcentral describes it as "partial 16S ribosomal RNA". It matches the Rfam family "Bacterial small subunit ribosomal RNA", at positions 524 to 776 of the family's 1533-position model. The record is from RNAcentral.